RNAcentral lists this ribosomal RNA (253 nucleotides) under uncultured bacterium. RNAcentral's name for it is "partial 16S ribosomal RNA". It matches the Rfam family "Bacterial small subunit ribosomal RNA", at positions 524 to 776 of the family's 1533-position model. The record is from RNAcentral.
UACGGAGGAUGCAAGCGUUAUCCGGAAUGAUUGGGCGUAAAGCGUCCGCAGGUGGCCAUGUAAGUCUGCUGUCAAAGCGUCUGGCUCAACCAGAUAAAGGCAGUGGAAACUACAUAGCUAGAGUAAGGUAGGGGUAGAGGGAAUUCCUGGUGUAGCGGUGAAAUGCGUAGAGAUCAGGAAGAACACCGGUGGCGAAAGCGCUCUGCUGGACCUGAACUGACACUGAGGGACGAAAGCUAGGGGAGCGAAUGGG